RNAcentral lists this ribosomal RNA (477 nucleotides) under uncultured organism. RNAcentral describes it as "partial 16S ribosomal RNA". It matches the Rfam family "Bacterial small subunit ribosomal RNA", at positions 332 to 800 of the family's 1533-position model. The record is from RNAcentral.
UACACUCCUACGGGAGGCAGCAGUGGGGAAUUUUGGACAAUGGGCGAAAGCCUGAUCCAGCAAUGCCGCGUGAGUGAAGAAGGCCUUCGGGUUGUAAAGCUCUUUUGUCAGGGAAGAAACGGUGAAAGCUAAUAUCUUUUGCUAAUGACGGUACCUGAAGAAUAAGCACCGGCUAACUACGUGCCAGCAGCCGCGGUAAUACGUAGGGUGCAAGCGUUAAUCGGAAUUACUGGGCGUAAAGCGUGCGCAGGCGGUUUUGUAAGUCUGAUGUGAAAUCCCCGGGCUCAACCUGGGAAUUGCAUUGGAGACUGCAAGGCUAGAAUCUGGCAGAGGGGGGUAGAAUUCCACGUGUAGCAGUGAAAUGCGUAGAUAUGUGGAGGAACACCGAUGGCGAAGGCAGCCCCCUGGGUCAAGAUUGACGCUCAUGCACGAAAGCGUGGGGAGCAAACAGGAUUAGAUACCCUUGUAGUCCCAUGA